This 468-nucleotide ribosomal RNA is filed under the name uncultured bacterium. Its description in RNAcentral is "partial 16S ribosomal RNA". It matches the Rfam family "Bacterial small subunit ribosomal RNA", at positions 28 to 507 of the family's 1533-position model. The record is from RNAcentral.
GACGAACGCUGGCGGCGUGCUUAACACAUGCAAGUCGAACGGAAAGGCCCUGCUUUUGUGGGGUGCUCGAGUGGCGAACGGGUGAGUAACACGUGAGUAACCUGCCCUUGACUUUGGGAUAACUUCAGGAAACUGGGGCUAAUACCGGAUAGGAGCUCCUGCUGCAUGGUGGGGGUUGGAAAGUUUCGGCGGUUGGGGAUGGACUCGCGGCUUAUCAGCUUGUUGGUGGGGUAGUGGCUUACCAAGGCUUUGACGGGUAGCCGGCCUGAGAGGGUGACCGGCCACAUUGGGACUGAGAGACCGCCCAGACUCCUACGGGGGGAAGCAGUGGGGAAUAUUGCACAAUGGGCGGAAGCCUGAUGCAGCAACGCCGCGUGCGGGAUGACGGCCUUCGGUUUGUAAACCGCUUUCGCCUGUGACGAAGCGUGAGUGACGGUAAUGGGUAAAGAAGCACCGGCUAACUACGUG